Molecule: ribosomal RNA, 478 nt
Filed under: uncultured bacterium
Lineage: Bacteria
Description: partial 16S ribosomal RNA
Rfam family: Bacterial small subunit ribosomal RNA
Source: RNAcentral
GAUGAACGCUGGCGGCGUGCUUAACACAUGCAAGUCGAACGGGAAACCUUUUAUUGAAGCUUCUGCAGAUUUAGCUGGUUUCUAGUGGCGACCGGGAGAGUAACUCGUGGGUAACCUGCCUUAUACAGGGGGAUAACAACCAGAUAUGGUUGCUAAUAUCGCAUAAGCUCACAGGACCGCAAGGUCCGGCGUUAAAAACUCUGGUGGUUUAAGAUGGACCCGCUUGGGAUUAGCUAGUUGGCACGGUAACGGCCUCCCAAGGCGCGGAUCCAUAGACGGCAUGAGAGGGUGGACGGACACAUUGAGACUGAGACACAGCCGAGACUCCUACGGGAGGGAGCAGUGGGGGAUAGUGCAACAUGGCGGAAAUCCUGAUGCAGCGACGACGGGUGAAGGAAGAAGUAACUCGAUAUGUAAACUGCUAUCAGCAGGGAAGGUAGUGACGGUACCUGACUAAGAAGCCCCGGCUAACUACGUG